UACAGAGGUCUCAGGCGUUGUUCGGAUUCAUUGGGCGUAAAGGGUGCGUAGGCGGCGCGGUAAGUCGGGUGUGAAAUCUUGGAGCUUAACUCCGAAACUGCAUUCGAUACUGCCGUGCUUGAGGACUGGAGAGGAGACUGGAAUUUACGGUGUAGCGGUGAAAUGCGUAGAUAUCGUAAGGAAGACCAGUGGCGAAGGCGGGUCUCUGGACAGUUCCUGACGCUGAGGCACGAAGGUCAGGGGAGCAAACGGG
This 253-nucleotide ribosomal RNA is filed under the name uncultured bacterium. Its description in RNAcentral is "partial 16S ribosomal RNA". It matches the Rfam family "Bacterial small subunit ribosomal RNA", at positions 524 to 776 of the family's 1533-position model. The record is from RNAcentral.